CGGGGCUGGGGGCGGGGCUGGCGGGCCGUUCGAACGGCGCUGCCGCUGCUGGUGGCGCUCGGGCCGGGCUGCGGGCGUGUGCCCCCGGGCAGCCCAACACAACACAGCCCGGCCCGGCCCGGCCUGGCCUGGCCUCCCUCCUCUCCAGAGUGCCCGAGGGGCUGGCAAGGCUUCCUUCCCGGGGGAACAGGCCGCGCUGCUGCCGCCGGCUCCUCCGCCGCCGCUCCGCGACAGACAAUGGACGAGCAGGGUCCUGGGGAAACGUGGCCCCGCCACACUACGAAGCAGUGCCCUUGCCUGGCUCAGCGCCCAGUGCCAACAGAACACCUUGCAGGAUCCUCAGCAGCGCAGACAACGUAAGUAGCCAGCUGUCCCUUGAUGCCCUUGUCCAGAAGCCCCCGCGCCCUGCGGACCCCGUGGAGCGCCCGCACGCCUCCUUCCCUCGCUCGCCCUCCAAGUGCCACCUGGGCUUCACAAGUAGCACCUUCCAAAUCUCUCUGUCUUCAAGUUUGUGCAUGUCUGUGUGGCAUCCCUCCUCCUCCUUCACUCCCAUAGUGGAUCUCGUGAAGGGCUUCAGAUCGGCCCCAUUCAUCUCCCUGGUGAUAGCAGUGAAUGUAGAUAAAUCUCUGCUGCCUGCUUGCUGCUCCAGUAUGAUUUUUAUUUUGUCUUCCGUGUACACCUAGGUCAAAAAGUGGGAUGUAUACUGACGGUGGGUGAGAGUGUGUGUGCGUGUCUCCUCCUCAGUCCCUGUCGUUCUCUCGCACUGAGGCACACAAACACACAUCUCCCCGCGUGUGUUACACGCGUGCACACACAUAAACACCCGCACACGCACGCGCGCGUGUGUGCAUGGAGCACACACACAUCUCCUCACCCCACUGACACAGCUCCUGUGCACCGACCCCAGGCGGUGUGUGCUGUGUGUCUGUACGCACUGUUCCGUGUGCGUGUGCAUACACAGGCAUCUCGCUACACCGUCAAACAUUCCCUCUCCUCCCAGCAGAGGCUGUGUGCAGGCUGAUCCUGCCCUGUGAGAGCGGUAUUCCUUCCUCCCUUCCUUCCCUCGGCUCUUCGGAGACCUUCAUGUUCCCUCCUCGGGGUCCCUCCUGAGCUGCAGAUUUGGCACCCUUCCCUGAGGUUGUCCAAAUGGCAUCAGCCGGAGUUCGCAUUCUUGCAGCUUCUCUGGGCAUUUCUCCCUCCAUGUCGACUACUCCCUUUUGUUUGUUGUUGACUGGGCUGGGUGUGGUUGGGGUUUUUUUGGCAUUAAUUGUAAAAGAACCUGAAUGGCAAAACACACCAACAGCUUGCGGGAAAAAAAAAGCCAAAAAAAAAAAGCAAGCCCCACACAAACGCCUUCUGCUGCGACAGAUGCCCAUGUUGCCCCUGGCAUGGAGAGCGGGCACAAGGGGUUUGUUGAUGAGGUUUUUUCGAUUGCUGUGUUUAUUGUUCGCAUUUCCCUUUUCCAUUUAUUUUUAAAGACUCCAAGAUGCCGGCCUCGGCUUGGAACGGAGCGGUGUCAUGGCGGAGACGACGGCCUUUGUCUCGCAGGGUGUGAAAGCAUCCGUUGUGCUGGCUCCACUGCGGCAGAAUGAUGUCUAAAGGGGGGAAAAGUGCUGGAAGUCCGAGGUGCGCGGCGCUGGCGGGGGAGCCCCAUCCCCAUGGUGCGCGUCCGAGGAAGGGCUC
This 1683-nucleotide long non-coding RNA is filed under the name Junco hyemalis (dark-eyed junco). Its description in RNAcentral is "lncRNA (ENSJHYG00000010826.1)". Lineage: Eukaryota; Metazoa; Chordata; Aves; Passeriformes; Passerellidae. The record is from RNAcentral.